GACGAACCGUGCGAACGUUGUUCGGAAUCACUGGGCUUAAAGGGCGCGUAGGCGGCCUUCUAAGUCGAACGUGAAAUCCCCGGGCUCAACCCGGGAACUGCGUCCGAUACUGGAAGGCUUGAAUCCGGGAGAGGGAUGCGGAAUUCCAGGUGUAGCGGUGAAAUGCGUAGAUAUCUGGAGGAACACCGGUGGCGAAGGCGGCAUCCUGGACCGGUAUUGACGCUGAGGCGCGAAAGCCAGGGGAGCAAACGGG
This 253-nucleotide ribosomal RNA is filed under the name uncultured bacterium. Its description in RNAcentral is "partial 16S ribosomal RNA". It matches the Rfam family "Bacterial small subunit ribosomal RNA", at positions 524 to 776 of the family's 1533-position model. The record is from RNAcentral.